Molecule: non-coding RNA, 515 nt
Organism: Rhinichthys klamathensis goyatoka
Lineage: Eukaryota; Metazoa; Chordata; Actinopteri; Cypriniformes; Leuciscidae
Source: the annotation of a RefSeq genome assembly
AGCAGAAAAACUCAGUGAAAGAAACCAUGAUGGACAUGUUUGAUAGCAUAUCUCUAUCUCUAAUGAUACUUACAGCUGCAUGUCUUGGUAAAACUGUGGAUCAGACGCCAGAUAACCUCAUCAAGAAUCAAGAUGAAUCUGCUGUGAUCAUAUGUGCUCACAAAAUACCGAGCUAUAACCAAAUAUUAUGGUACAAACAAAGUCAGGACACGUCGGGACUCAAGUUAAUGGGAUACCUUUAUUAUAAGGCUGAGACUAAAGAGUCUGAAUUCACAAACAAGAUCAAACUGGAGGGAGAUGGAGAUAAAAAUGGCACUUUGACUAUCAACAGCCUCAGACUGAAUGACAGCGCAGUGUAUUUCUGUGCAGCAUAUUACACAGUGUUCACAAUCACCUCUGACUCAUACAAAAACCUCCUCUUUUAAACGGCUUGUUUCUGUGAAAUGCAUAUCUAUGUUUCUCCCCACAUCUCUGGAUUCUGAUUCAGUGCCAAUUCUCAGCACAAUAGGUCUAGU